UUGAACGCUGGCGGCAUGCUUUACACCUGCAAGUCGCACGGUAACAGGCCUUCGGGUGCUGACGAGUGGCGAACGGGUGAGUAAUGCAUCGGAACGUACCCAGAGGUGGGGGAUAACGCAGCGAAAGCUGUGCUAAUACCGCAUGUGAUCUGAGGAUGAAAGCGGGGGACCGAGCAGCAAUGUUUGGCCUCGCGCCUUUGGAGCGGCCGAUGUCGGAUUAGCUAGUUGGUGGGGUAAAGGCCUACCAAGGCGACGAUCCGUAGCUGGUCUGAGAGGACGACCAGCCACACUGGGACUGAGACACGGCCCAGACUCCUACGGGAGGCAGCAGUGGGGAAUUUUGGACAAUGGGCGCAAGCCUGAUCCAGCAAUGCCGCGUGCGGGAAGAAGGCCUUCGGGUUGUAAACCGCUUUUGGCAGGAACGAAACGGUGUCCGCUAAUACCGGGCGCUAAUGACGGUACCUGCAGAAUAAGCACCGGCUAACUACGUG
RNAcentral lists this ribosomal RNA (491 nucleotides) under uncultured bacterium. RNAcentral's name for it is "partial 16S ribosomal RNA". It matches the Rfam family "Bacterial small subunit ribosomal RNA", at positions 29 to 507 of the family's 1533-position model. The record is from RNAcentral.